UGCAAAUUAAAUAACCGUUU
RNAcentral lists this small nuclear RNA (20 nucleotides) under Arabidopsis thaliana (thale cress). RNAcentral describes it as "snRNA_08271". The record is from RNAcentral. Lineage: Eukaryota; Viridiplantae; Streptophyta; Magnoliopsida; Brassicales; Brassicaceae.